Molecule: ribosomal RNA, 506 nt
Filed under: uncultured bacterium
Lineage: Bacteria
Description: partial 16S ribosomal RNA
Rfam family: Bacterial small subunit ribosomal RNA
Source: RNAcentral
AGUGAACGCUGGCAGUAGGCCUAACACAUGCAAGUCGAACGGCAGCACAGGAGAGCUUGCUCUCUGGGUGGCGAGUGGCGGACGGGUGAGGAAUACAUCGGAAUCUACUUUGUCGUGGGGGAUAACGCAGGGAAACUUGCGCUAAUACCGCAUACGACCUACGGGUGAAAGCAGGGGAUCUUCGGACCUUGCGCGAUUGAAUGAGCCGAUGUCGGAUUAGCUAGUUGGCGGGGUAAAGGCCCACCAAGGCGACGAUCCGUAGCUGGUCUGAGAGGAUGAUCAGCCACACUGGAACUGAGACACGGUCCAGACUCCUACGGGAGGCAGCAGUGGGGAAUAUUGGACAAUGGGCGCAAGCCUGAUCCAGCCAUACCGCGUGGGUGAAGAAGGCUUUCGGGUUGUAAAGCCCUUUUGUUGGGAAAGAAAAGCAGCCGGUUAAUACCCGGUUGUUCUGACGGUACCCAAAGAAUAAGCACCGGCUAACUUCGUGCCAGCCGCCGCCGUAA